This 1027-nucleotide ribosomal RNA is filed under the name Pseudotruncatella arezzoensis. Its description in RNAcentral is "SSU rRNA". It matches the Rfam family "Eukaryotic small subunit ribosomal RNA", at positions 73 to 1110 of the family's 1831-position model. Lineage: Eukaryota; Fungi; Ascomycota; Sordariomycetes; Amphisphaeriales; Pseudotruncatellaceae. The record is from RNAcentral.
AUUAUACCGCGAAACUGCGAAUGGCUCAUUAAAUCAGUUAUCGUUUAUUUGAUAGUACCUUACUACUUGGAUAACCGUGGUAAUUCUAGAGCUAAUACAUGCUAAAAACCCCGACUCACGAAGGGGUGUAUUUAUUAGAUUAAAAACCAAUGCCCUUCGGGGCUCUUUGGUGAUUCAUAAUAACUUCUCGAAUCGCAUGGCCUUGCGCCGGCGAUGGUUCAUUCAAAUUUCUGCCCUAUCAACUUUCGAUGGCAGGGUCUUGGCCUGCCAUGGUUACAACGGGUAACGGAGGGUUAGGGCUCGACCCCGGAGAAGGAGCCUGAGAAACGGCUACUACAUCCAAGGAAGGCAGCAGGCGCGCAAAUUACCCAAUCCCGAUUCGGGGAGGUAGUGACAAUAAAUACUGAUACAGGGCUCUUUUGGGUCUUGUAAUUGGAAUGAGUACAAUUUAAAUCCCUUAACGAGGAACAAUUGGAGGGCAAGUCUGGUGCCAGCAGCCGCGGUAAUUCCAGCUCCAAUAGCGUAUAUUAAAGUUGUUGCAGUUAAAAAGCUCGUAGUUGAACCUUGGGCCUGGCUGGCCGGUCCGCCUCACCGCGUGCACUGGUUCGGCCGGGCCUUUCCCUCUGGGGAGCCGCAUGCUCUUUAUUGAGUGUGUCGGGGAACCAGGACUUUUACUGUGAAAAAAUUAGAGUGUUCAAAGCAGGCCUAUGCUCGAAUACAUUAGCAUGGAAUAAUAGAAUAGGACGUGUGGUUCUAUUUUGUUGGUUUCUAGGACCGCCGUAAUGAUUAAUAGGGACAGUCGGGGGCAUCAGUAUUCAAUUGUCAGAGGUGAAAUUCUUGGAUUUAUUGAAGACUAACUACUGCGAAAGCAUUUGCCAAGGAUGUUUUCAUUAAUCAGGAACGAAAGUUAGGGGAUCGAAGACGAUCAGAUACCGUCGUAGUCUUAACCAUAAACUAUGCCGACUAGGGAUCGGACGAUGUUAUUAUUUGACUCGUUCGGCACCUUACGAGAAAUCAAAGUCUUUGG